Molecule: long non-coding RNA, 3161 nt
Organism: Ictidomys tridecemlineatus (thirteen-lined ground squirrel)
Lineage: Eukaryota; Metazoa; Chordata; Mammalia; Rodentia; Sciuridae
Source: RefSeq, a predicted model, not a curated record
UUAAGCACUACAAGUUUGAAUAACUUCUGUAACACAGAUUUCUCAUGAAUAUUUGCAUUUUCUUUCAGGGUACAGAGCUAUACCACAUUUUCCAGUCUUUCUGGCAAUGAGGAGUGGUCAGGCCCUGACUUCUGCAUUCCUGCUUCCUACCCACCACUCAAAUUGAGGAAGCUUUUGAAAAGAGUCCAGAUGCAGGUUCACAGAACAUGUGUAGAGGACAUAAAGCCACAGACACACAGGGAAGAUCAUAUGAAGACCACAGGAAGACUGGCCAGCUGCAAGCCAAGAAGCCAGGCCUUGGAAGAAACCAAACUUUCCAACACUUUGAUCUUGGAUUUCCAGGCACAGAAUUGUGAGAAGAUGCCUUUCUGUUGUUUAAGCCACCAAGCCGUAGUACUUUGCUAUGGCAGUCAUGGAAAAAUACUACACAUAGCAUUCCAAGUACAACUAAGGAAAAGUCAAACAACAAAUUCACAGAAAACAACCAAAAUUCUGGUGCUGCCACUAAGAAGGGCUAGUAUGUUGUUGACAUUUAUAACCUUGCGUAGAGCACUUGUCUGCAUUUCCAGAUGCACUGCAAAGCUACAUUCCACCUUAAUGUAGCUACUCUGUGGUCAAAGAAUGUAUACAAGAGGGAGAGUGUGAGUUAUCCAAACUAGGGCAGCAAUCCUCCAACUGCACAUCAUACAACUCACUCAACUUGUCCUAUCAAAGAACCUGUCAGUAUUCUCUAGUUGUCUUUACCUACCCUCAGAUACAUUCAGAGCCCCCAUGAGACUGCAAGAUGUCUGAAGGCCAGUGUCGUGUCUAUCUUGUUCAUCAUUACACAGUCCUAGACCAGUGGUUGGUCCAAGUAGAUCCUCAUCUGUAUCACAAGUGAAUCGAUUAGUGUAAAAUCACAGUCUGUGCUUCACUGUGAGAGUAUCAGAGUGUCAUCAAAGCAGGAGUUCUUAACUAUUUUUGUGCCACAGACUCUUUGUCAGUCUAAUAAGUCCCACAGCCUCCUUCUCAAGAUAGUGUAUUAAGUGCACGAAUGAGGACAUAGGACUUAAAAAAAAAAAACUGUUUAUAGUAAAAUACUUUCCCAACAUUAAAAAACAAUUUCAUGAAUUUUUGAUAUAAUAAUACGUGCACUUCUUUAUUAACACAUUAGUACUAGUGUGUUAAUACUACCCUUAUACAACCAUUAAUAUUGCCAAUAACUACUAUAAUUUUAAAGUAGCAAUGAUAAAAGAUGAGUGAUAGUUUGAGAUAUUUGUCACUACUAAAAUAUGUUAUGGAUAUAUCUGUGAUCUUUGUUGGUGACUAAGUGGAGGGCACUGAUAAUUCUACUAUGGUGUAUUGCCCAUAUCCAUAACUGAAGGAAUUGCUCAAUAUACUAACUUUCUUAGAGUUAGAAACAAUGAACAUGUCAAUCAUUCAAGUUCAUGGCCCCUCUGGAUUCUAGGUGGUUCCAAAUACCUAGUUUUGAUCACCUGCUUGUAAAGGAAAGACACAGCAUCUGAAAGGUGGCCCUGUAGAAUUGGGUCAGAAAAGAGGUCCUUCCAGGGAGCCCAGACGCAGGAGGGGCAGAGCUGCACAAUAUCGAUGAGCCUGGGUGUUCAUCUUUAUUUUGUUUCUAACUAGUGUGACUUUGAACAAUGUUUGUCUUCAUCCAUAAAGGAGGAUUGCAGCAACAAGAACAACAUCAUAGAAGUAAUCAAACAGGUAUUUCAGUUGUCACCUCCUCUUCAAGAUUAGUGCAUGAGCAAUUCUAAAAGUGACUUACAAAACCCCUGGUUAGGGACCAAAGGAUUUUAUUAAGGGAAUCCAAAAUAUGUAUCUUAGACCAUGUGUUUGGAAGACAGCAUCUGAAACGCUGAAGCUCUUUCUUGAUUUUCCUCCACUCAUGUGGUCCCAAUAAGAAGAAACAAUUUUAAUAUCAUGGUAAACUUUCCCCAACUCAUUUUCUUUGCAUUCUCUGAGGUGAAUAAACAGGGAAGUAAAAUGUAGCUACUCUGGUCAAAGAAUGUAUAGGAGAGGAAGAGUGUGAAUUAUCCAAACUUAGGCAAUAGUCCUUCAACUGCCCACCAUACAUAUCCACAUACACUGAUCUUUAAGGUAAAACAAAACAAAACUUAUAGUUCAACUGAGAUCAGGAAAAACAAAAUGAAUGGGAAUUCCUGGAUAAAAGUCUAAUACUUGAAAACAUACUAAUCCCUACUUGUUCUCUUUUCAUUCUUCCAGUCAUAAAAUUACUUUUCAAUGAGCAAACACACUUAAGUUUAUGUACUUAGAGGAUAAGUUUGGGAAUGAAGGCUCUCUAGCCCUAUAUCAGAACAACUGAUUUAUCCCACAAAGAUCUACUGUGUCAUUUCACUCUGCUAGGCAGUGUGCUGGGGAUAUAAAAUGGACAUGGUUCCUUCAUGGUUCAGUGAAGGACAAAGGGAAGUUUGCAUGUAGCUCCUGGGAAGUGCUGAGGAAGCAGCACCAGGCCUGUGAAAGGCUCUGCAAUGAUUCCUUCCCACAACUCCCUGUAUCUGAAGAUACCAGCUGUCCACAGCACACCAGGCACAGGGCAGAGUGAGCUGAGGGAGACUUUGACUGAAUCCCAACUCUACCUUUUUCUAGCUAUGACUUUGCUGUUGUUUCUGCAUCCAUAAAAUGAAGAGUAAUUUUUCAAGAUUGUGAAGAUUGAGAUAAAAUAUGUAUAAAGUGUUUAGUACAUUCCUGGCACAUAGAGAUAUGGUAUUAUUAGACAUAAUUUUAAAAAUUAUAUAUAGAAAUCCUUUUACUGGCAAAUAAUCUGUUUAUUGGCAAUCAGUUCUUCAUAGGAAAAUACCACAUAACUUACUUUUCUUCUCAUUUUCAGUGACUGUUAUAUGGUAGGAACUCAGUAAACUUUUGUAUUCUGAGGAACUUCCAAACCUCUAUGGAGAAACUUUCAAAGAAAGCAACCAUUAGAAUGUUUUUGUUUUUUAAUUCUGAUUAAAAUCCAAAAUGCACAACUAAUGGACACAAGAAUAUACAGGAAAAGAAAUGAGGCCAAAAUUUGUAUUUGUUCAUGAAAGAUCUAAUUUGUUUUAAAAAAUGUAUUAUGCUACUCUUCCAUAUUGUUCAAAAAGAAUAUGAGUAUUUCAGAAAUUUGCAGCUAGAGGAAAGAAUUAAAAAAAAAAACUAUU